AGGACGCAGCCGACCACGGACGGGUCAGCGACUGGGGUGAAGUCGUAACAAGGUAGCCGUAGGGGAACCUGCGGCUGGAUCACCUCCUUUCAAGGAUAUUUCCUGACACGUUGGGGAAUUCCGAAAUAAAAGUCCUUGGCCAGAUUGGCUGAGGCGCCAGACAAUCCUGGAUGAUUGGCCUCAGGGCGCCGUCAACAUAUCCCUUCCUAUAAUUUUCCCGGGCUAGUAGCUCAGUUGGUUAGAGCACACGCUUGAUAAGCGUGGGGUCGGAGGUUCAAGUCCUCCCUGGCCCACCAGAGAUUGGGGGCAUAGCUCAGCUGGGAGAGCACCUGCUUUGCAAGCAGGGGGUCGUCGGUUCGAACCCGUCUGCCUCCACCAGUCACGGUUGAGAUUUCGGUCUCCUCUGAGUGGUGUAGAGCUCAAGAUCUGGUCCGUAAGGGAAAAUCAUAGGAAACGGGACGUCUGUUUCCUGAUCCUGUCUCCACGAAGUUGGAUGACGCGUCAGGGAUGUUGGGUCUUUUAGAGUGUGAAUAGGUUGGUGCGCAGUCUGCGUGUGCCAUUUCCGGGUUGGUCUGACCCGUUGCUGUGGAGCUUAGGCUUCAUUGCAAUGCUAAGGAAAUGGGGAAGCAUUCAGACAGCGUGAAGAAAAGUGUGACUGACACCGCAUGAGUGCGGAAGUCGGCAGCAUCUUUGUGGUGUGGCUGGUUUCUGUGCAUGUGUCUUCAUCCUCGGGUGAAGAAUGGUGUGAGAAUGAGAAGGGCGUUCGGUGGAUGCCUUGGCACUAAGAGGCGAUGAAGGACGUGGUACGCUGCGAAAAGCCAUGGGGAGCCGCGAACAGGCUUUGAUCCGUGGAUGUCCGAAUGGGGCAACCCCCUCGCAAGAGGAUCAUGCACUGAAUACAUAGGUGUAUGAGGCAAACCCGGGGAACUGAAACAUCUCAGUACCUGGAGGAAAAGACAUCAACAGAGAUUCCGCUAGUAGUGGCGAGCGAACGCGGAGCAGGCCAAUGCCUGAUCAGGAAGAAGCUGAACGGUCUGGAAAGUCCGGCAAGAAUGGGUGAUAGCCCCGUAAGCGUAGUGUUCUGAUGAGGAUUCGAGUAGGGCGGGGCACGUGAAACCCUGUCUGAACAUGGGGGGACCACCCUCCAAGCCUAAAUACUCCU
Molecule: ribosomal RNA, 1162 nt
Filed under: Gluconobacter oxydans
Lineage: Bacteria; Pseudomonadati; Pseudomonadota; Alphaproteobacteria; Acetobacterales; Acetobacteraceae
Description: bacterial LSU rRNA
Rfam family: Bacterial large subunit ribosomal RNA (bases 744-1162)
Source: RNAcentral